AACGCGAAGAACCUUACCUGGGCUUGAACCGCCGGUGACCAGCGGUGGAAACACCGCCUUCCCGCAAGGGACACCGGUAGAGGUGCUGCAUGGCUGUCGUCAGCUCGUGUCGUGAGAUGUUGGGUUAAGUCCCGCAACGAGCGCAACCCUUACCCCCAGUUGCCAUCAUUUAGUUGGGCACUCUGGUGGAACCGCCUCGGAUAACGGGGAGGAAGGUGGGGAUGACGUCAAGUCCUCAUGGCCUUUAUGUCCAGGGCUACACACGUGCUACAAUGGCCGGUACAAACCGUCGCAAACCCGUGAGGGGGAGCUAAUCGGAAAAAGCCGGCCUCAGUUCGGAUCGUAGUCUGCAACUCGACUACGUGAAGCUGGAAUCGCUAGUAAUCGCGGAUCAGAACGCCGCGGUGAAUACGUUCCCGGGCCUUGUACACACCGGUACUA
RNAcentral lists this ribosomal RNA (441 nucleotides) under uncultured bacterium. Its description in RNAcentral is "bacterial SSU rRNA". It matches the Rfam family "Bacterial small subunit ribosomal RNA", at positions 958 to 1398 of the family's 1533-position model. The record is from RNAcentral.